UCACGAACAGGGCAAACCAUUUGAAAAAAUGGGACGCAAAGCUUCCGGCCUAACAGGGUGUGAAUCGAAAUGUUUUCACUCUCAUGGUAGCGGGGUUACCGAU
This 103-nucleotide non-coding RNA is filed under the name Photobacterium jeanii. RNAcentral's name for it is "c-di-GMP sequence". It matches the Rfam family "c-di-GMP-I riboswitch aptamer". From Rfam's summary of the family: GEMM was predicted in a large-scale screen for bacterial structured RNA regulatory elements. Genes associated with GEMM are involved in a diverse array of functions, including chemotaxis regulation, signal transduction, secretion and chitin. Lineage: Bacteria; Pseudomonadati; Pseudomonadota; Gammaproteobacteria; Vibrionales; Vibrionaceae. The record is from Rfam by way of RNAcentral.